GCUCCAGUGGCGCAAUCGGUUAGCGCACGGUACUUAUAAUGCCGAGGUUGUGAGUUCGAUCCUCACCUGGAGCA
Non-coding RNA from Carassius auratus (goldfish), 74 nucleotides. The record is from the annotation of a RefSeq genome assembly. NCBI's taxonomy places the organism in Eukaryota, Metazoa, Chordata, Actinopteri, Cypriniformes, Cyprinidae.